Molecule: small nucleolar RNA, 95 nt
Filed under: Hucho hucho (huchen)
Lineage: Eukaryota; Metazoa; Chordata; Actinopteri; Salmoniformes; Salmonidae
Description: Small nucleolar RNA SNORD14 (ENSHHUG00000051057.1)
Source: RNAcentral
UCACUUAGAUUCAGUUGAUUCCUGACAAUAAUUGUUUCCACUAGAGGUUUUAUAACCAAAGAAGGUUCUAGUAUCUUCCUUGGCUGUCUGAGUGA